GAUGAACGCUGGCGGCGCGCUUAACACAUGCAAGUCGAGCGAAGAAACUAUAACAGUACCCUUCGGGGCGUAGCUACAGAGGAGUAGCGGCCGACGGGAGAGUAACACGUGAGUAACCUGCCUUAGACAGUGGGCUAGCCCCGGGAAACCGGGAUUAAUACCAAAUAAAAUCAUAAUGACACAAGUCAUAACGAUUAAAACUCCGAUGUUCUACGAUGGACUAGUGACCCAUUAGCAAGUUGGUAGAGUAAAAGCCUAACAAGGCGAAGAUGGCCAGCCUGCCUGUGAGAGUGAGCGGCCACAUUGGAACUGGGCAGCAGUCCAAACUCCUACGCGAUGCAGCAGUGGGUAAUAGUGCACAACGGAGUGAGCGCUGAUGCAGCGCCGCCGCGAGAACUAAGUAGUCUUUCAAGUCGUAAAGUGUUAUUAUAUGUGAAGAUAAUGACGGUACCAUAAGAAAAAGCCCCGGCUAACUACGUG
This 480-nucleotide ribosomal RNA is filed under the name uncultured bacterium. RNAcentral describes it as "partial 16S ribosomal RNA". It matches the Rfam family "Bacterial small subunit ribosomal RNA", at positions 28 to 507 of the family's 1533-position model. The record is from RNAcentral.